GGGGGCGUUCUGGAUUCGACGGGGAUGGUUCGAGCAUGAGUAGCGAGCCGGUGGGUUGCGAUUCCGUAACAACGCAAGCGUAAAUAUAAACGCUAAAGAAGAAAACUACGCUUUAGCUGCCUAAUCGCAGCUAACCCUUACCUCUCCAUCGCCCAUGUGGAGGGACUAAGGGCCAACUUUAGUGGGCUACGCCUAAGGCUUCCGUCUGUAGCCGAAGGAAGAGAUGAAUCAGACUAGCCUGUCAGGUAGUGGGUUACCUGGCAGCUUGGCAGGCGAAUCAACCACAGGUAACUGCGCUCGGAGAAGCUUAUGUGAUCGGAGUCUUCGGACGUGGGUUCGAUUCCCACCGCCUCCACCA
This 358-nucleotide transfer-messenger RNA is filed under the name Aneurinibacillus danicus. RNAcentral's name for it is "Standard tmRNA". It matches the Rfam family "transfer-messenger RNA". Rfam says of the family: Bacterial tmRNA, also known as 10Sa RNA or SsrA, is named for its dual tRNA and mRNA-like properties. Its role is to liberate the mRNA from a stalled ribosome. To accomplish this part of the tmRNA is used as a reading frame that ends in a translation stop signal. The record is from Rfam by way of RNAcentral. Lineage: Bacteria; Bacillati; Bacillota; Bacilli; Caryophanales; Paenibacillaceae.